CUGGGGGCUGAGGAGAACCACAACACGCUGCUCACUAAAGGAGCAGUGCCGGCCGCGCAACAGCCGCUACGAUGGGCAGAUCGCCGUGUUCGGGGCCGACCUGCAGGCCAAGCUGGGCGCCCAGAAGUACUUUGUGGUGGGAGCGGGGGCCAUCGGCUGCGAGCUGCUCAAGAACUUUGCCAUGGUGGGCCUGGGCUGCGGCCCCGAGGGCAGCGUCACCGUCACCGACAUGGACACCAUCGAGAAGUCCAACCUCAACCGCCAGUUCCUCUUCCGGCCGUGGGACGUCACGGUGAGGGCUGGGAGUGACCCAAGAGUUGGCCAACGUUGGGUUGGCUACACCAAGUGGGGAUGGAGGAGUU
Molecule: long non-coding RNA, 362 nt
Filed under: Zonotrichia albicollis (white-throated sparrow)
Lineage: Eukaryota; Metazoa; Chordata; Aves; Passeriformes; Passerellidae
Description: lncRNA (ENSZALG00000003271.1)
Source: RNAcentral